This 441-nucleotide ribosomal RNA is filed under the name uncultured bacterium. RNAcentral's name for it is "partial 16S ribosomal RNA". It matches the Rfam family "Bacterial small subunit ribosomal RNA", at positions 338 to 795 of the family's 1533-position model. The record is from RNAcentral.
CCUACGGGGGGCAGCAGUGGGGAAUAUUGCACAAUGGGGGGAACCCUGAUGCAGCGACGCCGCGUGGGUGAAGGAGUAUUUCGGUAUGUAAAGCCCUAUCAGCAGGGAAGAACAAUGACGGUACCUGACUAAGAAGCACCGGCUAAAUACGUGCCAGCAGCCGCGGUAAGACGUAUGGUGCAAGCGUUAUCCGGAUUUACUGGGUGGAAAGGGAGCGCAGGCGGCACGUUAAGCCUGGUGUGAAAGUCCGCGGCCCAACCGCGGGACUGCAUUGGGAACUGGCGCGCUGGAGUGCCGGAGGGGUAGGCGGAAUUCCUAGUGUAGCGGUGAAAUGCGGAGAUAUUAGGAGGAACACCAGUGGCGAAGGCGGCCUACUGGACGGUGACUGACGCUGAGGCUCGAAAGCGUGGGGAGCAAACAGGAUUAGAUACCCUUGUAGUC